This 914-nucleotide ribosomal RNA is filed under the name uncultured Nitrososphaerota archaeon. Its description in RNAcentral is "bacterial SSU rRNA". It matches the Rfam family "Archaeal small subunit ribosomal RNA", at positions 1 to 921 of the family's 1478-position model. Lineage: Archaea; Thermoproteati; Nitrososphaerota. The record is from RNAcentral.
UUCCGGUUGAUCCCGCCGGACCUGACUGCUAUCGGAUUGAUACUAAGCCAUGCGAGUCAUUGUAGCAAUACAAGGCAUACGGCUCAGUAACGCGUAGUCAACCUACCCUAUGGACGGAAAUAACCUCGGGAAACUGAGAAUAAUAUCCGAUAGAACAUUAUGCCUGGAAUGGUUUACGUUCCAAAUSAUUUAUCGCCGUAGGAUGGGACUGCGGCCUAUCAGUUUGUUGGUGAGGUAAUGGCCCACCAAGACUAUUACAGGUACGGGCUCUGAGAGGAGUAGCCCGGAGAUGGGUACUGAGACACGGACCCAGGCCCUAUGGGGCGCAGCAGGCGAGAAAACUUUGCAAUGUGCGAAAGCACGACAAGGUUAAUCCGAGUGAUUUCUGCUAAAGAAAUCUUUUGUUAGUCCUAGAAACACUAACGAAUAAGGGGUGGGCAAGUUCUGGUGUCAGCCGCCGCGGUAAAACCAGCACCUCAAGUGGUCAGGAUGAUUAUUGGGCCUAAAGCAUCCGUAGCCGGCUCUGUAAGUCCUCGGUUAAAUCUGUACGCUUAACGUACAGGCUGCCGGGAAUACUGCAUAGCUAGGGAGUGGGAGAGGUAGACGGUACUCGGUAGGAAGGGGUAAAAUCCUUUGAUCUAUUGAUGACCACCUGUGGCGAAGGCGGUCUACCAGAACACGUCCGACGGUGAGGGAUGAAAGCUGGGGGAGCAAACCGGAUUAGAUACCCGGGUAGUCCCAGCUGUAAACUAUGCAAACCCAGUGAUGCAUUGGCUUGUGGCCAAUGCGGUGCUGCAGGGAAGCCGUUAAGUUUGCCGCCUGGGGAAGUACGUACGCAAGUAUGAAACUUAAAGGAAUUGGCGGGGGAGCACCACAAGGGGUGAAGCCUGCGGUUCAAUUGGAGUCAACGCCGG